RNAcentral lists this ribosomal RNA (497 nucleotides) under uncultured bacterium. RNAcentral describes it as "partial 16S ribosomal RNA". It matches the Rfam family "Bacterial small subunit ribosomal RNA", at positions 28 to 507 of the family's 1533-position model. The record is from RNAcentral.
GAUGAACGCUGGCGGCGUGCCUAAUACAUGCAAGUCGAGCGAACAGAUGAGGAGCUUGCUCCUCUGACGUUAGCGGCGGACGGGUGAGUAACACGUGGAUAACCUACCUAUAAGACUGGGAUAACUUCGGGAAACCGGAGCUAAUACCGGAUAAUAUAUUGAACCGCAUGGUUCAAUAGUGAAAGACGGUUUUGCUGUCACUUAUAGAUGGAUCCGCGCCGCAUUAGCUAGUUGGUAAGGUAACGGCUUACCAAGGCAACGAUGCGUAGCCGACCUGAGAGGGUCAUCGGCCACACUGGAACUGAGGCACGGUCCAGACUCCUACGGGAGGCAGCAGUAGGGAAUCUUCCGCGAUGGGCGAAAGCCUGACGGAGCAACGCCGCGUGAGUGAUGAAGGUCUUCGGAUCGUAAAACUCUGUUAUUAGGGAAGAACAAAUGUGUAAGUAACUAUGCACGUCUUGACGGUACCUAAUCAGAAAGCCACGGCUAACUACGUG